Callithrix jacchus (white-tufted-ear marmoset) is the source of this 295-nucleotide unclassified non-coding RNA. It matches the Rfam family "Metazoan signal recognition particle RNA". Rfam says of the family: The signal recognition particle (SRP) is a universally conserved ribonucleoprotein. It is involved in the co-translational targeting of proteins to membranes. The record is from Ensembl. Lineage: Eukaryota; Metazoa; Chordata; Mammalia; Primates; Cebidae.
GCCAGGCGCAAUGGCACGUGUGUAGUCCCAACUACUUGGGAGGCUGAGGCUGGAGGAUCGCUUGGGUCCAGAAGUUCUGGGCUGUAGUGUGCUAUGCCAAUCAAGUGUACGCACUAAGUUCAGCAUCAAUAUGGUGACCUCCCGGGAGCAGGGGACCACCAGGUUGCCUAAGGGGUGAACUGGCCCAAGUCAGAAAUGGAGCAGGUCAAAACUCCCGUGCUGAUUAGUAGUGGGAUCCCGCCUGUGAAUAGCCACUGCACUCCAGACUGGGCAACAUAGCGAGACCCCAUCUUUU